Molecule: ribosomal RNA, 253 nt
Filed under: uncultured bacterium
Lineage: Bacteria
Description: partial 16S ribosomal RNA
Rfam family: Bacterial small subunit ribosomal RNA
Source: RNAcentral
UACGUAGGGGGCAAGCGUUGUCCGGAAUCAUUGGGCGUAAAGAGCGUGUAGGCGGUUCGGUAAGUCGGCUGUGAAAGUCCAGGGCUCAACCCUGGGAUGCCGGUCGAUACUGCCGGACUAGAGUUCGGAAGAGGCGAGUGGAAUUCCCGGUGUAGCGGUGAAAUGCGCAGAUAUCGGGAGGAACACCUAUGGCGAAGGCAGCUCGCUGGGACGUUACUGACGCUGAGACGCGAAAGCGUGGGGAGCAAAUGGG